CCGGGAACUCUCUUUUAUUGAAUAUUACAAACAUUGCCACAGGUGUGCUUGUGGCUGAUUGGCUGAUACAAACACAAAGCAUCUUGUUGCUGAUUGGUUAACAUAGGUACAAGGCGGGAAUAACAUUUUACAUUAAUCAGUGAUAGUUCAAAAGACUGGGAACGGAGCUGGAACUAGACAGGCAUGAAUCCUCCUAAUUAAAUUGUAACUAAGAUUGAUAUUGAGAGAACAUAACAUGAAGGAAUACAACAAUCACGUUCUGUAAAUGUGGUCAGCAAAGCAUUAAGAACAGGUCAGGAUACACUGUUUCAUGAACUCAAUGGGAACUGUUCAGAACAUUCUCAGACUCUUGUGCAGAAGCAGAGAGAAGAUUAUGAGCGAGACUUCCCAGAAUGCAAGAAAAGAAGCAAUAGUGCUCAUAGUAAGCAUAGAAAGAUUUCAUAGUAAGACUUCCCACAAUGCCACAGUUAUGUGCAGUAAGAGAACUGCAGAAAGAGAACUUCACAGUGAGAGAACUGCAGAAAGAAAACUUCCCUUCAACCCCUGAAAGCUAUAGAUUGUAGGCUUUUGAUAUCAGGGAACUAUUUUUUUAAAAAAUCAAUGUACACUAGUGUUACUGUACAUGGUCUAAAUAAUUGGCCCAGGGUUGUGGGUGAGCUGUCAGGGUAACGGUGACCUGCCCUCCUUUUUAAGCUGCUGGCUUAAAAGUCACCAACCACCGGUGGUGUAGCACAGGCUGAUGGUGCCCGGGGAAGGCACAUGCACACUGGGGAAGCACACUGGGGUAACAGAACUUUGAUAAGAGGAGAAGCCGGGAAAUCAAGAAGAAUGCUGUACUGAUCAUGGAAAAUACUAAGAAAUGAACUAGACUGUCGGCAGUCCUUCUCUGCUUCUCUUGGCGCGUUUCCAGUAGAUAGCCAGGCCUUCCCAUCACCUGAAGUUAGUAUUUGAGAAAACAGAAGAGGAGGCACUGAAUCGCUCAGGUGGGUGGGGACCCAACCAUAGUGUUUGCUUUAUAUUCUGCAGUCUCAGAUGCAGAGAAGUCCUCGUCCCUUGAAUUGAUAGCCUGGCAUUUGCAAUUUCAGCAAUUGGACCGGGAUGAGAUGGGGUUGUUGUUGGUUUUUUUUAGUUCUGGGCACCUGAGGGGCCUGCAGACAGUGGCUGAUGCUCCUGAAAAGGCGCUGAGAAAGAAAGAAAGAAAGAAAGAAAAAGAAAGAAAGAAAGAAAGAAAGAAAGAAAGAAAGAAAGAAAGAAAGAUCUGGGCAGCAGGAAAUCUUGACGAAGCAGCUUGAAAACAUUCAGAAAGAAAAAGAAGAGUUAAAAGCAUGCCAGAGGGGCCUGCAGACUGGGGUGUGCCAAAAAUCUGGCCACCACGAAAACUGUGGUGAGUGAGAAGAUGGAUUGGGUAGGGCUGCCAUUAUGUCUGGAUUUUCCCAGACAUUACCAGGAUUUCAAAGGCGGAAGUGACAUCCAGGGAGAAUUUCCAGAAGGUGUUGUUCUGUCCUGGAUCUCUGGCAAGUAAACGAAAAAAUCGUGGGUUUUUGAGCAUUUUCGUUAAAAAGCUCAACAACCCUGGGGUGUCCUGCCUUUUACAUUUUGAAAUAUGGCAACUCUAGGAUUGUGGGGGGAUGUUUGGUGGAAGGCAAUUUGUUCUGAUUAUACAAUAAAGAGGAUUCAUUCUGAUUACAUUCUGGUUUGUUGCAUGGAGGUUAUUUGUCUUUAACCAAUUGUUUAUUCCGCACCUUUUCUAUCAUACAAUUAUUUUAUUGAUUUGUUUUUAAAAAAAUGAAACAUAACCAAAAAAAAGAGAGCAAAACAUUUUUAAAAAGCCUUAAAGCAUCACAGCCUGGAAGGACAAAAGUACAUAGAUACAGCACAGAAAGUACUAAUUCGUACAAAGGCCCUCUGCACCAGUAAUAAAGAUAUGAGUACAGAGUUGGUAGCUUUGGGGACAAGGGAGGGCAAACAGCAAGCCGCCUGUGCGUGGCAGAUCUUAAUGCUCAAUUUGUUGCUGCCAUUAUUUACUUCUCUCCGCAAAAUGUGGGUGAAAAGGGAAGGAGAGAAAGUGCUGAAGGUCAUACUUCAUUGAUUAUGUCCCAGUGUGUGCACUUUGAGCUGCCUCACAGCUGUUUAUUGUGCAAGCACAGGCCAGGGUUCAGUGGCACCACAAUCAGGGUCAGACUUUGAGGCAGAAGUCCUGGGCCUCAGCAGAAUGAGAAGGAGAGCCCCCAACACAUAAAAUGCUGGUGACAUUUUGAAGUAAAUGAAGUACUGUAAUACAAAUUACUAUCUAAUGCAGGGUGUGUGUAAAACUAUUGCAGUGUAGCAUACUGUUACUCUGAGAAGGCCCACUGAAAUUAAUUGACAUAAGUUAUUCAUCUUCAUUUAAUGCCAGUGGGUCUAGUCUAACUAACAUUGCUUACUAUCAAUUAGGAAGAAUUAAGCAUCGCACUAAGGUGAGUUUUUGUCUUCAUUGCAUAGCCCUGCAUUAUAGUAUGAGGAAGAAAAACUACUCUGUUUUUCCCCACACCAGUGCAUAAUUUUUAUACGCCUCUAUUGUGUCCCCCGUUAACUCGCCUUUUCUAUAAACCAAAAAGCCUCAAUUGUUAUAAUUUGCAAGGGGGUUCUUCCAAUCCCUUGAUCAACUAUUAUUUUCAUUUGUGGGAGUUGGAGCCGUUUUCUCUGAACUUAAUUAUACACUCUGACCUUUUAGGGGCUUGAAAUUUAGGAACAUGUGAACCAGGAGUCUUUGCGGCCUGAGCCUCUUAGUUUUUGAAGUGUGUCUAAAUCUUUCUGCAAUCAUAAUCAGAAGUAUUGGAAAAAAUGUAAAAUUCAUAAAGGUUAGAAAAUUAUUUCCAGCACUCAAAAUAUUGAUUUGGUACGAGAAACUUUCCUUUGGGAAUUUUUUCCUCGAAAGCCAAGGUUACAAAUACAUGGGCACAGUUGAUAGCACAAAAAUAAAAGUUUAGUGACAUUGUUUUUGGUAAUACAAUCUCCUGUUUCACCUGAAAAUAUUUACUUGUUGGUGGCUGCAAAAAUGGUCAUUCAUAGUAGCCCUAACUUGGGCCUUGCAUCUUCAGCAUUAUUUUAUUUUUGGAACAUUAAUAUUUGCAACCAAUCCACAUGCAAGCCAAAGGAGGCUGACAUGCAACUGAGUGCUUACAUUAACCUGGGAAGAGUUUCUGAGAUGCCAACUUAAAAUAGAUCUGCCUGCCUGCAACAUGAGAUGUAUGAGGGUUUGCUUUAAAAAAAAAACUGGGAAUCCAUACCAGCCUCAGCCUCUCCUUUCCUUCUGAAACAUUAACUUUGGACUAUGUUGCAAGCUCGCUGUAACUUGUUCUCUUGCAGCACAGAAAUCCAACCUGCAUAAGGUGUGUAGGGGUGAGCUACACAACAGGGUUAUUGCAGAAUACUUUUUCUGCCAAACAUGCAAUGUGGGGAGAAAAGCAGUGAACAACAUUUCAGGGUUGUUGUUCUCUCUCAGCUUCAGUCCAACCUAAAACAGGGGCCUAGUACAGAUGGUCAACACUGCAGGGUUUGUGUCCUAAAACAUGGGUGUCUUCACACAACAUUUCUUAGGGAUUAAUUCCAUCUACUAGCACCCUCAAACUCUUAUUUGAGUUUGAUCCUUGAGGUGAUCAACAUUUGUAGCAUAUUUUAUAUUGACAACAAAAAAUAUUUUAUAUUAGCUAAUAUUGUAUAGUAACAACAACAAAUAAAAACCAUAACAUCUGUCAGGCCUUUGGUGUAGAUAAGGAACUGGGCACAAAAUAGGAGUCUGGCCUCAACUCACCCACUUUCUGCCUUAAAGUCCAUAUCAGGGAGGGAGAAUCUGCAGUCCUCUAAGAUAUUUUUUGGACUCCAACUCCUGUCAUCCCCCUAACCACAGGGCCACGCCAGUGUGGAUGGUAGCUCCCAUCAGCCCUAAAACUCCAUCUGGAAGACCACAGGUUCUCUAUCACUGGUCUAGACUGGCUGGCAGCAAUCCUGGGGUUUUAGACAUGGGCCUGUUCCUAACCCAUCAGUGGAGAGAAAGGGAACAGGAUGUGACCUGCAUGCAAAGCAUAUCCCCUACCACAGAACUAUGGCCCUCCCUAUCAAAACUCUUGAUGUAAUUGUACACAAGGUAACAUCAACAAUGUUUUUGGCAAUGUUUCAUCAAUGCAACUGUGCAAAUCAGUUAUGUAGAGAAAGGAAAUCAAAUGAAAACUGGAUGUUUGUCUCUACUACAACAAGGCUUGGGGAUCGUGGCCCACAGAUGUUGCUGGACUCCAACUCCCCUGACCCCUGACCUGAAAGAGCGUCUCCACUCCCAUCGUUUGGCCCAGAAACUGAGAUCCAGCUCCAAGGGCCUUCUGGUGGUUCCCUCACUGCAAGAAGUGAAGCUACAGGGAACCAGGCAGAUGGCCUUCUCAGUAGUGGCACCCACCCUGUGGAAUGUCCUCCCAUCAGAUGUCAAGGAGAUGAGGAGAUAUAACCUUUAGAAGACCGCUGAAGGUAGCCCUGUUUUGGGAAGCCUUUUAAUGUGUGAUGUCUUACUAUGUUUUUACAGAUGUUGGAAGCUGCCCUGAGUGGCUGGGGCAACCCAAUCAGAUGGGUAGAGUACAAAUAAUUUCCAGCACUCAAAAUAUUGAUUUGGUACGAGAAACUUUCCUUUGGGAAUUUUUUCCUCAAAAGCCAAGGUUACAAAUACAUGGGCACAGUUGAUAGCACAAAAAUAAAAGUUUAGUGACAUUGUUUUUGGUAAUACAAUCUCCUGUUUCACCUGAAAAUAUUUACUUGUUGGUGGCUGCAAAAAUGGUCAUUCAUAGUAGCCCUAACUUGGGCCUUGCAUCUUCAGCAUUAUUUUAUUUUUGGAACAUUAAUAUUUGCAACCAAUCCACAUGCAAGCCAAAGGAGGCUGACAUGCAACUGAGUGCUUACAUUAACCUGGGAAGAGUUUCUUACUAUGUUUUUACAGAUGUUGGAAGCUGCCCUGAGUGGCUGGGGCAACCCAAUCAGAUGGGUGGAGUACAAAUAAUAAAAUUGUUGUUGUUGUUGGCUGGAACCAAUGGAAGUUGAUCAUCACCUGAAGAGCUACAG
Molecule: non-coding RNA, 5082 nt
Organism: Podarcis lilfordi (Lilford's wall lizard)
Lineage: Eukaryota; Metazoa; Chordata; Lepidosauria; Squamata; Lacertidae
Source: the annotation of a GenBank genome assembly